Camelus ferus (Wild Bactrian camel) is the source of this 72-nucleotide transfer RNA. It matches the Rfam family "tRNA". From Rfam's summary of the family: Transfer RNA (tRNA) molecules are approximately 80 nucleotides in length. Their secondary structure includes four short double-helical elements and three loops (D, anti-codon, and T loops). Further hydrogen bonds mediate the characteristic L-shaped molecular structure. tRNAs have two regions of fundamental functional importance: the anti-codon, which is responsible for specific mRNA codon recognition, and the 3' end, to which the tRNAs corresponding amino acid is attached (by aminoacyl-tRNA synthetases). tRNAs cope with the degeneracy of the genetic code in two manners: having more than one tRNA (with a specific anti-codon) for a particular amino acid; and 'wobble' base-pairing, i.e. permitting non-standard base-pairing at the 3rd anti-codon position. NCBI's taxonomy places the organism in Eukaryota, Metazoa, Chordata, Mammalia, Artiodactyla, Camelidae. The record is from Rfam.
GAGGGUACAGCUCAGUGGUAGAGCGCCUGUUUAGCAUGCACGAGGUCCUGGGUUCAAUCCCCAGUACCUCCA